UGGGGAAUAUUGCACAAUGGGCGCAAGCCUGAUGCAGCCAUGCCGCGUGUGUGAAGAAGGCCUUCGGGUUGUAAAGCACUUUCAGCGGGGAGGAAGGCGAUAAGGUUAAUAACCUUGUCGAUUGACGUUACCCGCAGAAGAAGCACCGGCUAACUCCGUGCCAGCAGCCGCGGUAAUACGGAGGGUGCAAGCGUUAAUCGGAAUUACUGGGCGUAAAGCGCACGCAGGCGGUCUGUCAAGUCGGAUGUGAAAUCCCCGGGCUCAACCUGGGAACUGCAUUCGAAACUGGCAGGCUAGAGUCUUGUAGAGGGGGGUAGAAUUCCAGGUGUAGCGGUGAAAUGCGUAGAGUUCUGGAGAAAUACCGGUGGCGAAGGCGGCCCCCUGGACAAAGACAGACGCUCAGGUGCGAAAGCGUGGGGAGCAAACAGG
Molecule: ribosomal RNA, 429 nt
Filed under: Chloroflexota bacterium
Lineage: Bacteria; Bacillati; Chloroflexota
Description: Chloroflexi bacterium partial 16S ribosomal RNA
Rfam family: Bacterial small subunit ribosomal RNA
Source: RNAcentral